This 1542-nucleotide ribosomal RNA is filed under the name Triticum aestivum (bread wheat). RNAcentral describes it as "partial small subunit ribosomal RNA". The record is from RNAcentral. Lineage: Eukaryota; Viridiplantae; Streptophyta; Magnoliopsida; Poales; Poaceae.
AUGAAGCCCGCCGCCGUGAGGAAAGACGCUGGCGGCGGCAUUGGCGGUGGCGCGUUCGGCAUCUCCUGCCUCGACAUCAAAUCCUUCGGCGCCUCCCUGGUGCUCUUCGCCCUCAUCAUGGCGCUCUGGCAGUUCCACCCGUACCAGCCAAUCCUCGCCAUCACCCGCUCCUCCUGUCCCCUCAUCCCUCCCCCAUCUACCGCCGCCACCGCCGCCACCACCACCACCACCGCAGUAUCCUUCUUCAACUCCACAGCCGACAGAGCCGCACCGACCACUGCCGCCAGCGCGACAAAGGCGCCAACCUUGCCAUCCCGGCCACGGGACCCCAACAAGCGGGAGCUCCGGCCGUACGGCAGCGCGGCGGCGCUGUUUGUCCAGAUGGGCGCGUACCGGGGCGGGCCGCGCACAUUCGCCAUCGUGGGGCUGGCGUCCAAGCCGGCGCACGUCUUCAGCACCCCUUACUUCAAGUGCGAGUGGCUCCCCAACCCGGACCCGGCCGGCGGCCCGCCGCCGAGGCCCGUCCGGACCAAGGCGUACAAGAUGCUGCCCGACUGGGGUUACGGCCGCGUCUACACCACCGUCGUCGUCAACUGCACGUUCCCGACCAACCCCAACGCCGGCAACCGCGGGGGAAAGCUCCUCGUCCACGCCUAUUAUUCCACCUCUUCCCGCCGGUACGAGCGCUUCGUCGCGCUCGAGGAGGCGCCGGGGUCGUACGACGGGUCCCGCUUCCAGCCGCCGUUCCCCUACGAGUACCUCUACUGCGGCUCCUCCCUCUACGGCAACAUCAGCGCCCCGCGGAUGCGGGAGUGGUUGGCCUACCACGCGCAUUUUUUCGGCCCAAGGUCGCACUUUGUUCUCCAUGACGCCGGCGGCGUCAGCCCGGCGGUCAAGGCGGUUCUGGAUCCGUGGGUGAGGGCCGGCCGGGUCACUCUCCAGGACAUCAGGGCGCAAGCAGAGUACGACGGGUACUACUACAACCAGUUCAUGGUGGUGAACGACUGCCUCCACCGGCACCGCCACGCGGCGAACUGGACCUUCUUCUUCGACGUCGACGAGUACAUCUACCUCCCCGACGGGCGGUCGCUGGAGGAGGUGCUCGGCCAGCUCGAGCGGUACACGCAGUUCACCAUUGAGCAGAACCCCAUGUCCAGCAAGCUCUGCGUGGAGGAUCCGACCAAGGGCUACUCGAGGCAGUGGGGGUUUGAAAAACUUGUUUUCCGUAAUUCGAUCACCGGAGUCAGGCGGGAUCGCAAAUACGCCAUUCGAGCAAGGAAUGCAUACUCCACUGGUGUGCACAUGUCUCAAAAUGUGUACGGGAGGACGACCCACAAAACCGAAAGCUUGAUUAGAUACUACCAUUAUCAUAACUCGAUCAAUGUCAUGGAGGAGCCUUGCCGGGAGUUUGUGCCGAAACCCACCAAUGGCAGCAAGGUAAUGUUUGAGGAGGUACCGUACGUCUACGACGAUAACAUGAAGCGUUUGGCGGGUGAUAUCAAGGGCUUCGAGGAGGAGACAGUUGGCGUGGUCUAUUCAUAG